Molecule: long non-coding RNA, 127 nt
Organism: Herpailurus yagouaroundi (jaguarundi)
Lineage: Eukaryota; Metazoa; Chordata; Mammalia; Carnivora; Felidae
Exons: 3
Source: RefSeq, a predicted model, not a curated record
AUUAAGAAAUACCUGACACUGAAUUUCAUUAGAGCAGAGAACCACCAUAGCCUCGGGUGGAUGUCUUUCAUUUCCUCACUAAGAAAGUGUCCUAGAGAAACCAAUACAUGGGAAGAGCACACGUGUG